GAUGAACGCUGGCGGCGUGCUUAACACAUGCAAGUCGAACGGUGAAGGCGGAGCUUGCUCUGCUGGAUCAGUGGCGAACGGGUGAGUAACACGUGAGCAAUCUGCCCCUGACUCUGGGUUAAGCGCUGGAAACGGCGUCUAAUACUGGAUACGAGCUGCGAAGGCAUCUUCAGCAGCUGGAAAGAAUUUCGGUCAGGGAUGAGCUCGCGGCCUAUCAGCUUGUUGGUGAGGUAAUGGCUCACCAAGGCGUCGACGGGUAGCCGGCCUGAGAGGGUGACCGGCCACACUGGGACUGAGACACGGCCCAGACUCCUACGGGAGGCAGCAGUGGGGAAUAUUGCACAAUGGGCGAAAGCCUGAUGCAGCAACGCCGCGUGAGGGACGACGGCCUUCGGGUUGUAAACCUCUUUUAGCAGGGAAGAAGCGAAAGUGACGGUACCUGCAGAAAAAGCGCCGGCUAACUACGUG
RNAcentral lists this ribosomal RNA (468 nucleotides) under uncultured bacterium. RNAcentral's name for it is "partial 16S ribosomal RNA". It matches the Rfam family "Bacterial small subunit ribosomal RNA", at positions 28 to 507 of the family's 1533-position model. The record is from RNAcentral.